UUCAUGCCCUGCGGGUAGAUCUCCCACCCUUGUGUAUAUCAUUAUCUGUUGCUUUGGCGGGCCGCGAGCCCCGCUCGCCCGGGUCCUGCCCGGCGUGCCCGGCGUGCCCGCCAGAGGAAACCCAAACUCUGAAUGUUAGUGUCGUCUGAGUACUAUAUAAUAGUUAAAACUUUCAACAACGGAUCUCUUGGUUCUGGCAUCGAUGAAGAACGCAGCGAAAUGCGAUAAGUAAUGUGAAUUGCAGAAUUCAGUGAAUCAUCGAAUCUUUGAACGCACAUUGCGCCCCUUGGUAUUCCGGGGGGCAUGCCUGUUCGAGCGUCAUUAUAACCAAUCCAGCCUGGCUGGGUGUUGGGCCUCGCGGUACCGCGGGCCUUAAAGCUAGUGGCGGUGCUCUCAUGCUCUACGCGUAGUAACUUUUCUCGCUAUAGGGUCGUGGGAGAUGCUCGCCAACAACCCCAAAUUUUUUCAGGUUGACCUCGGAUCAGGUAGGGAUACCCGCUGAACUUAAGCAUAUCAAUAA
RNAcentral lists this small RNA (520 nucleotides) under Lachnellula pulverulenta. RNAcentral describes it as "eukaryotic LSU rRNA". The stretch from base 168 to 321 matches the Rfam family "5.8S ribosomal RNA". Lineage: Eukaryota; Fungi; Ascomycota; Leotiomycetes; Helotiales; Lachnaceae. The record is from RNAcentral.